AGUGCAAGAAAGUGCUUCGAUUUUCACAGAAUUUUUUUUCAUUAAACUUGUUUCGAGGUUUAAAUGUGCAUGGCUUCAAUCAUGUAGUCAAUAGAAAUUAUACUGCACUUGAAAGAAUCGGUUGGCUACUUUUGGUAUUAUCAUUCGCCUACUUCACGUUUUCAAUGUGCUUCGAUCAAGUCGCUCGAUUUAUAACCGAUCCAUUUCUAUUAACUCUGGACACAAACAAUCAUAAAUGGAAGUAUACUGUCCCUGGAGUCACCGUUUGCACAGAUUAUGAAAAUGAACGUUAUAUUGAAGAGUUUUACCAACACGCCACAAAUUUAUCGAUCGAUUAUAAUUCAAAAGAUUAUCAAGACUAUCGUCACGACAUGACAAUAAUCGGAUCGAUAACUGCAGGCAGCAUGCACUUGAUUGAUAAAUUUAAAAAUAUGUCACUAUUCAAAAAACUCAGUGGAGAAGAAUUGUUGAAUGUCGUGACAAACUUGAAAACAAACACUCCAUCGUCCGGAGAUUUACAUAUAGUGUUGCGUCCAACUAUAACAGAAGCUGGAAUAUGUCACACGUUCUCUGGGAUCACCAACCAUUUCAUAGCAGAUAUUCCAAAUAAAUGGUACAAACCAGUAAUGGGCGAAGAGGGGGGAAGUUUUCCCCCCCCUGUGAUUUGGUUGAGAAGAUUUUUUCGCGAAAAUUAUUCCAAUUUGCUAGGGUUUUUCUUUCGAAGUGCGAGGACCUUUUUUGGUCCUAAAUUUUGGAAAGUGAGAAAAAAUCUUUCGAUUUUUCGAUUUGCUAGUGUUUUUCGAGUGAAAAAUUCUUUUGAUUUCCGACCAGAAUUUGACUACCCAUUCAAAAAUUUAGCUCGCCCAUUACUGGUACAAACAUAUUAAACUAGCACUGUCGAACCUAAAAUGGUCAAAAGCAAUAUUGAUUUGUUCACAGUUUUCUUUUUAGAAAAUUUUCUAGUCAUGAUUUAUUUAUUUCGAUAACACUUAUCUGAAACUUACUAACUCUGAAAAGGUGGGAAAAACAUAGAGGAUGGUAUAAUCCUUCGAUGGAGUGUGGAAUAGUUGUUCCGUGUGAUAACUGGUCAAAUUUUGUAAGACCUUUCAAAAGAGCAAUGAUUUAUUUGCAUGGAUCAAACGACAUUCUCAAUCUAAGAAAAUCUCCACAAACUGAAUGGAAUAUUACAAGUGUCUAUAAUUCCACACAACUUGAAAUAGACAUAGGUGGAGUAUUCACUAGCAACCGUACUAAAAUGUUCGGCAUUGAGACUCGCAAGUGUAGAUUUGAUGAGGAAAUUACAUCUAAUCGCAGCUAUCCGCGUGGUGUGUACACACAAAACCUGUGUUUGAUGGAAUGCAGUGCUGAUGCUGCAGUUAAAUUGUGUGGAUGUCGACCAUUCUUUUACAA
Contarinia nasturtii (swede midge) is the source of this 1410-nucleotide long non-coding RNA. RefSeq lists it as uncharacterized. The record is from RefSeq and is a predicted model, not a curated record. NCBI's taxonomy places the organism in Eukaryota, Metazoa, Arthropoda, Insecta, Diptera, Cecidomyiidae. The transcript has 4 exons.